RNAcentral lists this unclassified non-coding RNA (362 nucleotides) under soil metagenome. RNAcentral's name for it is "partial contains 5.8S ribosomal RNA, internal transcribed spacer 2, and large subunit ribosomal RNA". The stretch from base 1 to 120 matches the Rfam family "5.8S ribosomal RNA", at positions 35 to 154 of the family's 154-position model. The record is from RNAcentral.
GAUGAAGAACGUAGCGAAAUGCGAUAAGUAAUGUGAAUUGCAGAAUUCAGUGAAUCAUCGAAUCUUUGAACGCACCUUGCGCUCCUUGGUAUUCCGAGGAGCAUGCCUGUUUGAGUGUCAUUAAUAUAUCAACCUUCUCUUUUUUGAGUUGUUUGGAUGUGGGGGUUUGCUGGCCUCUUAAAUGAUUCAGCUCCCCUGAAAUGCAUUAGCAGAACAACCUGUUCAUUGGCGUGAUAAUUAUCUAUGCUAUUGAAUGUGAGGGCAGUUCAGCUUUCUAACCGUCCUUGGACAAUUCAUCAUUAAUGUGACCUCAAAUCAGGUAGGACUACCCGCUGAACUUAAGCAUAUCAAUAAGCAGAGGA